CAGGAGGGGUCAGGAGACACUGUGGCCCACUCCGAGGACACCCCCGGACAGGGCCAAACAGGAAGGAUAUAAUGAGAGGUGAGCUCUAGAUGAGUUUGAAUAGACAUCAGCAGAGGCAGAGAGCUUGUCAUGACAAGGUCCUUCGCUCUCUCUGAUGGACCAUUACUCACUGCUGGUGACUGCAGCUCCACUAUCAUGUCACUGGGAAUCCACACUGCCUUCACCAGGUUCCACCUGGGCACAAAAACAUACAAGGAGUCAGUCACGCCACCAGCUGUAAAGCACAGUAAUACCAGUGUUUUUUUUAGCUGCAAAUACAUAUGGACUAGGUAUAAUCAUCUAACCACACCAACAGUCUAAAGUUGAUGACACAUACAGUCUCUAAUUCUACUAGUUGCCGUCACUCUAGUUGUCCUUGGUUCCUCCAUCCAUUACUCACAACCUCUCCACUCAGAUACUAGAUUCCAGUGCUCGCCCAAACUCUGCUGAAGCCUAUCCCUUUGCUGAUCCGACCCAGUGGGAAUGAAAUCCUUCUGCCCGCGCACCGGGAUCUUGUGGUUGCGCGUGCGGGCUUCGAACAGCUCAGAUGGGCUGUCAUUGAAUCAGAAGCACAACAAGUUGCAAGAACUGACUCUGUCUCCAAUUGGUGUCAGCACUGGCUACACGUCUUUCGCACUAUAUAUGGCCUGGCCACGAGUCAUCACACCUGACGUGAGAGGUGAUAGUGGUGCAUUUAGAUGCAUGGACAAUGAGAGAAUGCCCCGCUGAGCAAACAUCCACACUACCAGGAAGAGGCUAAAGAUCACUCACGCAAACACCCUGGCCCCUCCCAUGGCCAAGCUGUAAAGACAGCAGCAAGAGGUGGCUGGCCAGAUCCGAUCUACCGCAGCCAGUCAGGUGUAGCAACGGCAUUCUGACACACACACACACACGCAAACACACACAGUUUGAAUGUUUGAUCAACUCCUUUACACAGCUGACACAUCAAGCCAACCACCGUUUGUCAACUGACUAAUGACCUUAAAGCCAGCAGUUAAAAGUAAACGUAGGCCUAUGUUAUCCUUCAUUUUGUAUCCCCUGACCUGUUUUGAACAGUACACACACAUCCUAUAAUUCUGCACAAAAAAAGAAUGUGAAAUCCUGACAAGCUCUGGCCGGUAAGGUAAUAAAGCAUUCCCAUCGUCACACACAAAUCAACCUAGUCCCAUUAACACCCCACACUGCAAAUGAGUGAUGGCAGAGAUGAGGAGAGAGAGCGAGAGAGAGGGUGGGAGAUAGAGAGGGCGAGGAAGACAGGGGUGAAAGUAAGGCGCUACAGUCCAGUACUGCGUCCCGGCAAAAUACAUGACCCUAUCACAAUAAUUAAAACAAAAUGUCAAGAAAACUGUAAGCUAUUACACCAUGAUUUAUCAUUAGGCUACCACAUGUCAGAGGCAUGAAAAAUGAGCGAAUGGACUUCAAAAUGGGUGGUAUGGCCUAUGCUCAAAAAAGCGAUGUGGUUCAACAAGAAUAUUGACAUUUUGCCAAGGCAGAGAUGAAUGGCCGUCACUGAAACACACAAGGAAAGCAGUGGAUGCAUAAAUUCUGGCCUAAUGACAAUCACCAAAAUGUCAUUACACUUUGUGGUGUUUUGUGGAACAGAUGUCUCUUUCCAUUCACAACUGUUUGGAGGCUGGAAAUAUUUUGCGAGUGAAUGAACGUGCGCGGGUAGCCUAAAGGAGCCAUUUGAUGUCAUUUCGGUAAGAAAUUACAUCUACCUUCACCCCUAGACAGAGAGAGGAGAACGGAGAGAGAGGAAAACGGAGAGGUAAAAAGUGAGAGACAGAUGGGGGGGUGGAGAGGGAGACCCAGACAUUCACACUGGGGGCUGUAAUGUGGUGUGGGAAAUGACCAGGGAGGUCUCUGUUUCACUCCAUCCCACGUCUCCUCCGAUCAAAUCAUUUAGUGGAUGCACCCGAUGCAAACCGCCAUGCUCUUUGCUGGGGGUGAGAGGCAACACCAAUGAAUGGAGGGACAGAGUCGUGGAGGGGUGCUGAGAGAAAGCUCUGGCUGAGCCAAGCAGUGAGGGGGCCUACGCUUCGACCAGGCCUGGGGGGCUUUUAUGGCUUUUGUCGCCACGGCAGCUCACCUAUUGAGGGGAGCCCCUAAGAUAUGUAAAACAGCAACGUUUCAAAGCCUCAUCUCCACUGUGAAAAACAAAGAAAUAAAGAAAUCAAAUUAAAGUCUGGAAAGGAGUGAGUAAGAGUAGAAUAAGAGAAAAAGAAAGUAUCCUCUGUAGUAAAAAGCAAAGGGGGGCAGUAGCCAAGCCGUUUGCUGGAAUCCGAUGAGUGUUGAUAAAUAAAUAAAUAAAUAAAUAAAGGAAUCAAUAAAAAAGGGGGUGAGGUGGAAAGAGCUUACUAUGCUCUUGUUUGCCCAGAGUGUUAUUUUCUUUUCUCAUUGAGUCAGGCCAAGUCCUGCAAGCGGCUUGGUGCUUCUCCCACCCAGCAUUGAGAGGCAGGUCUGGGCUUGCCCGGCCAAGGUCGGCCACGGCUGCCAGGAACGCAUACGGCUCAACCUGCCCCCAGCUGCCAUGGUCCUUGUUUAUGUUUGUUUUUUGUUCCUCUCAGUAAAUGUCCCUCCCCUCCACCCCCCAAGGGAGGGACAGUCUGAGGAGCUCUCUCUAGAGUACAGCAUGAUCAGGUGUCAGUUGACCUGGUCACUUCCUCCAGAGGUAUGUGGCCAAGGUGUGCAUCGCUGCUGUUGUAUUGUCUGUCUCCACAAUGGCUUCUCCGUCUCCCUGUGUCACCUGCUCAGGGCCGACAGGGUGCUUUAGUUCAUCACUGCCGCAAGGCUUGCUGGGAAAUCCAUAGAAUGCCCACACUCUAGCUUCCAUUGCUACAACCAAUUAAUUAAUUCCUCCAACAUUACACUGUAUAUUUUUUUGCCACAUCGUGUCAGAUGCAUUUCUUCCUUGCUAACAACGAUGAUGUGAGAUGGUGAACACAGAGGUGUAAACUGAGACUGAUUCUGCUUUAAGCGGCUUCAGAGGGACUAGAUCUCUGGGACUAUUGUUCUCUCUCUGGAGUGACUCACCUUGCUGACUGUUACCUGGACAGCGUAACAUACAUGCUAAUUAGGAAACACAGGAACCAUGACACAUAACACUUAUGUCUGAGUAGGGAACACUUCUUGACAGGUGCACAUUUAUAAAAUGAUUAGUACAGCUAACCCUAAUGCAGAACUUUAAUUGCAAUUUCAUUUGUUCAUUAACAUUAUUAAUUUAUACACUUUAUAGUAGCCAUACAGUAUCUAGGAAAACCAAAGUUCUAAAGGCUGGGCCUAAUAUAGUGUAUAAGAGGUCAUACAAGAAGUUGUAUAGUUAUUCUAAUGUUGAAAAUGUGGUGUGUAAUGAGGAGCAACUAGGUGCUGCACUUGACACAUUUAUUAAAUUGCUUAUUCCAGAUACUAAUAAGCAUGCACCCGGUUACUAAUAAGCAUGACUGUAAAAACUGUUAAAUCCCUGUGGAUUGAUGAGGAAUUGAAACAUUUGAUGGUUGAGAGGGUUGAGGCAAAAGGAAUGGCAAAUAAGUCUGGCUGCACAGCCGAUUGGCAAACGUACUGUAAAUUGAGAAAUCGUGUGACCUAAACUGAACC
Molecule: long non-coding RNA, 3633 nt
Organism: Oncorhynchus mykiss (rainbow trout)
Lineage: Eukaryota; Metazoa; Chordata; Actinopteri; Salmoniformes; Salmonidae
Source: RefSeq, a predicted model, not a curated record